Molecule: long non-coding RNA, 96 nt
Organism: Neltuma alba
Lineage: Eukaryota; Viridiplantae; Streptophyta; Magnoliopsida; Fabales; Fabaceae
Exons: 3
Source: RefSeq, a predicted model, not a curated record
AUGGAGUAUUCUUUGCUGUCCUUGUUGACCAUAUAUUCAUGCAUAAAGUUAGUUGUGCUGGGUUUGACCCCUCGUUUCACAAAGAUCUUGAGAUAC